RNAcentral lists this ribosomal RNA (235 nucleotides) under uncultured Actinomycetales bacterium. Its description in RNAcentral is "partial 16S ribosomal RNA". It matches the Rfam family "Bacterial small subunit ribosomal RNA", at positions 96 to 334 of the family's 1533-position model. Lineage: Bacteria; Bacillati; Actinomycetota; Actinomycetes; Actinomycetales. The record is from RNAcentral.
UGGCGAACGGGUGAGUAACACGUGGGUGAUCUGCCCUGCACUUCGGGAUAAGCCUGGGAAACUGGGUCUAAUACCGGAUAGGACGAUGGUUUGGAUGCCAUUGUGGAAAGUUUUUUCGGUGUGGGAUGAGCUCGCGGCCUAUCAGCUUGUUGGUGGGGUAAUGGCCUACCAAGGCGUCGACGGGUAGCCGGCCUGAGAGGGUGUACGGCCACAUUGGGACUGAGAUACGGCCCAG